UUUAGGAAGUGGCUUCUCUGAGAGCUCCAGUACUGUGUACAGGGAGCUGGGCCAACGCAGAAUAAGCCUGAGGGACAUUUAAUCAGUCAACAGAGAAUGUAAGUGUCUCAUGGACACAGCUUACAGAAUUAAAACAGGCAGCAACCCUACACUCAGACUACUUGCUCUGAGAUCAGGAGUUCUAAUAAGAAGCAUUUGGAAGACUGAAGCAUUAUAAUGAAAUAUGAUGAUUCUGGGGAAAUAAUUUUGCUUACUGCAUUAUGAGCAGCAAAAAGAUAAACGAGUUUUGGCUGGAAAACAAAAAUGAAUUCCCUUCACCACACAGCAGUAAAAGUAUAACAGAUUGAGCAGCAGAGGCAAGUGACAUGAAACAGAAAAGCUGCUGGCUCUGGAGAACAGUGGAAAAGGUUUACUGAGAAAUAUCAUUUUAAGAAAACAACCUUGAUGCUUUGGGACAACAGCUGCCAGCAUGUUUUAACCCUUGAUAAUAUGUUAGAACAACAGAACAACAGAAGAAAGUGCGGCUGAGCAACAGUGUUUAAUUACUCUUUAAUCUUGACACAAUAAUAACUAAAGAUUUUUUGAAUAGAAUAAAUAAAUAAAAGUGUUGUGUUUCUUUUG
This is a long non-coding RNA of Xenopus tropicalis (tropical clawed frog), 621 nucleotides long. RefSeq lists it as uncharacterized. The transcript is spliced from 6 exons. The record is from RefSeq and is a predicted model, not a curated record. NCBI's taxonomy places the organism in Eukaryota, Metazoa, Chordata, Amphibia, Anura, Pipidae.